UGAGUAACGCGUGGGAAUCUACCCNUCUCUACCGAAUAACGCAUGGAAACGUGUGCUAAUACCGUAUACGUCCUUUUGGAGAAAGAUUUAUCGGAGAUGGAUGANCCCGCGUUGGAUUANCUAGUUGGAGGGGUAAAGGCCUACCAAGGCGACGAUCCAUAGCUGGUCUGAGAGGAUGAUCAGCCACACUGGGACUGANACACGGGCCAGACUCCUACGGGAGGGAGCAGUGGGGAAUAUUGGACAAUGGGCGCAAGCCUGAUCCAGCCAUGCCGCGUGUGUGAUGAAGGCCCUAGGGUUGUAAAGCACUUUCACCGGAGAAGAUAAUGACGGUAUCCGGAGAAGAAGCCCCGGCUAACUUCGUGCCAGCAGCCGCGGUAAUACGAAGGGGGCUAGCGUUGUUCGGAUUUACUGGGCGUAAAGCGCACGUAGGCGGACUAUUAAGUCAGGGGUGAAAUCCCGGGGCUCAACCCCGGAACUGCCUUUGAUACUGGUAGUCUUGAGUUCGAGAGAGGUGAGUGGAAUUCCGAGUGUANAGGUGAAAUUCGUAGAUAUUCNGAGGAACACCAGUGGCGAANGCGGCUCACUGGCUCGAUACUGACGCUGANGUGCNAAAGCGUGNGGAGCAAACAGGAUUAGAUACCCUGGUAGUCCACGCCGUNNNCUAUGAGAGCUAGCCGUCGGGNAGUAUACUGUUCG
RNAcentral lists this ribosomal RNA (699 nucleotides) under Phyllobacterium sp. MIDC14. Its description in RNAcentral is "partial 16S ribosomal RNA". It matches the Rfam family "Bacterial small subunit ribosomal RNA", at positions 107 to 842 of the family's 1533-position model. The record is from RNAcentral. Lineage: Bacteria; Pseudomonadati; Pseudomonadota; Alphaproteobacteria; Hyphomicrobiales; Phyllobacteriaceae.